This 927-nucleotide ribosomal RNA is filed under the name uncultured Bacillus sp. RNAcentral describes it as "bacterial SSU rRNA". It matches the Rfam family "Bacterial small subunit ribosomal RNA", at positions 8 to 916 of the family's 1533-position model. Lineage: Bacteria; Bacillati; Bacillota; Bacilli; Caryophanales; Bacillaceae. The record is from RNAcentral.
AGAGUUUGAUCCUGGCUCAGGACGAACGCUGGCGGCGUGCCUAAUACAUGCAAGUCGAGCGGACAGAUGGGAGCUUGCUCCCUGAUGUUAGCGGCGGACGGGUGAGUAACACGUGGGUAACCUGCCUGUAAGACUGGGAUAACUCCGGGAAACCGGGGCUAAUACCGGAUGGUUGUUUGAACCGCAUGGUUCAGACAUAAAAGGUGGCUUCGGCUACCACUUACAGAUGGACCCGCGGCGCAUUAGCUAGUUGGUGAGGUAACGGCUCACCAAGGCAACGAUGCGUAGCCGACCUGAGAGGGUGAUCGGCCACACUGGGACUGAGACACGGCCCAGACUCCUACGGGAGGCAGCAGUAGGGAAUCUUCCGCAAUGGACGAAAGUCUGACGGAGCAACGCCGCGUGAGUGAUGAAGGUUUUCGGAUCGUAAAGCUCUGUUGUUAGGGAAGAACAAGUGCCGUUCAAAUAGGGCGGCACCUUGACGGUACCUAACCAGAAAGCCACGGCUAACUACGUGCCAGCAGCCGCGGUAAUACGUAGGUGGCAAGCGUUGUCCGGAAUUAUUGGGCGUAAAGGGCUCGCAGGCGGUUUCUUAAGUCUGAUGUGAAAGCCCCCGGCUCAACCGGGGAGGGUCAUUGGAAACUGGGGAACUUGAGUGCAGAAGAGGAGAGUGGAAUUCCACGUGUAGCGGUGAAAUGCGUAGAGAUGUGGAGGAACACCAGUGGCGAAGGCGACUCUCUGGUCUGUAACUGACGCUGAGGAGCGAAAGCGUGGGGAGCGAACAGGAUUAGAUACCCUGGUAGUCCACGCCGUAAACGAUGAGUGCUAAGUGUUAGGGGGUUUCCGCCCCUUAGUGCUGCAGCUAACGCAUUAAGCACUCCGCCUGGGGAGUACGGUCGCAAGACUGAAACUCAAAGGAAUUGACGG